RNAcentral lists this ribosomal RNA (206 nucleotides) under uncultured Anaerolineaceae bacterium. RNAcentral's name for it is "partial 16S ribosomal RNA". It matches the Rfam family "Bacterial small subunit ribosomal RNA", at positions 568 to 774 of the family's 1533-position model. Lineage: Bacteria; Bacillati; Chloroflexota; Anaerolineae; Anaerolineales; Anaerolineaceae. The record is from RNAcentral.
CGUGUAGGCGGCACGAUAAGUUGGAUGUGAAAGCUCCCGGCUAAACUGGAGAGGACGUUCAAUACUGUCGAGCUUGAGGAUGGGAGAGGGAGGUGGAAUUCCGGGUGUAGUGGUGAAAUGCGUAGAUAUCCGGAGGAACACCAGUGGCGAAGGCGGCCUCCUGGCCCAUUUCUGACGCUCAGACGCGAAAGCUAGGGUAGCAAACG